Molecule: microRNA, 23 nt
Filed under: Monodelphis domestica (gray short-tailed opossum)
Lineage: Eukaryota; Metazoa; Chordata; Mammalia; Didelphimorphia; Didelphidae
Description: Mdo-Mir-1544-P1h2_5p* (star (passenger))
Source: RNAcentral
UGCGCCCAGGGAUAUAAUAGCGG